This 146-nucleotide ribosomal RNA is filed under the name Heterosigma akashiwo. RNAcentral describes it as "partial Trypanosomatid mitochondrial large subunit ribosomal RNA". The record is from RNAcentral. Lineage: Eukaryota; Raphidophyceae; Chattonellales; Chattonellaceae.
GUAGUAUAGCAGUGAAAGUUUUUUUUUUUUUUUUGGUGGAAAAAUGGGCUAACAAAAUAAAAAAUACAAAAAUGAUAUACUUGAUGAUAAUGAAAUAAUAAAAAUGUGAUAAGAACAACCCCACUUUGCAGAAGAACAUUAUUAUG